UAGCAGCCGACUUAGAACUGGUGCGGACCGGGGGAAUCCGACUGUUUAAUUAAAACAAAGCAUCGCGAAGGCCCGCGGCGGGUGUUGACGCGAUGUGGAUUUCUGCCCAGUGCUCUGAAAUGUCAAAGUGAAGAAAU
Molecule: microRNA precursor, 137 nt
Filed under: Tetraodon nigroviridis (spotted green pufferfish)
Lineage: Eukaryota; Metazoa; Chordata; Actinopteri; Tetraodontiformes; Tetraodontidae
Description: miRNA (ENSTNIG00000020537.1)
Rfam family: Eukaryotic large subunit ribosomal RNA
Source: RNAcentral